RNAcentral lists this ribosomal RNA (484 nucleotides) under uncultured bacterium. RNAcentral describes it as "partial 16S ribosomal RNA". It matches the Rfam family "Bacterial small subunit ribosomal RNA", at positions 30 to 507 of the family's 1533-position model. The record is from RNAcentral.
AUUGAACGCUGGCGGCAGGCCUAACACAUGCAAGUCGAGCGGAUGAAGGUAGCUUGCUCCUGGAUUCAGCGGCGGACGGGUGAGUAAUUCCUAGGAAUCUGCCUGGUAGUGGGGGAUAACGUCCGUAAAAGGGCGCUGAUACCGCAUACGUCCUGAGGGAGAAAGUGGGGGAUCUUCGGACCUCACGCUAUCAGAUGAUCCUAGGUCGGAUUAGCUAGUUGGUGGGGUGAAGGCCUACCAAGGCGACGAUCCGUAACUGGUCUGAGAGGAUGAUCAGUCACACUGGAAGUGAGACACGGUCCAGACUCCUACGGGAAGCAGCAGUGGGGAAUAUUGGGCAAUGGGCGAAAGCCUGAUCCAGCCAUGCCGCGUGUGUGAAGAAGGUCUUCGGAUUGUAAAGCACUUUAAGUUGGGAGGAAGGGCAGUAAGUUAAUACCUUGCUGUUUUGACGUUACCAACAGAAUAAGCACCGGCUAACUUCGUG